UUAAUUAAUAUAUUUUUAGAAAAUUAAUAAAUUCAGCUGGUUAAGUUUGUCACGUAAAUAUCUAUAGAGAUCCAGAAUAUUCAUUAAAUCUCGGCGUUUUUAAUCCCAAUAGAUUCUUACCAAAAAAUAUAUUUAAUGCAGGAUCAAGAAAUUGCAACGAUAACUAUUGCAUGCAGAAAUGAGAAAAAUAAAUAUAAUCAUGUUAUUUUUUUUUGUAGGUCGAAAAUUCUUAAUACUUGAUCUUAAACGAAUGGAAGCUUACAUAUUCUUUCCACAUUCCAUUUUCUCCAAAAUGAAAUAAAUUGGAACUACAAUUCCAGAUAGCCCGAAUAAUUCCACAACUUUAUCAACGUACAGUAAUGGCCACCUAAUGAACAUAAACAAUCCGUGAGAGAGCUUUCGAAAUAGAUACGCACCAAGAUCGAGAUUUAAAAAGGAUAACGAGCCACUCCUAAUGAACUCUCCUCAUCAAUAUAAUUUUAUCAAGCGACAGAAAAUUGGAUCAUACUGAAAGGAAAUUCAGCCGUAUUUUUUAUCUACUUCAUCGAAUAAAGUUCAUCGAAAUGAAGAAUAUUGAAUCGAACCGUUGACAUUCGAUUCACUCAGGUUUCUAGCCGACGAAGCUAAGGAUCAUACGAGAAAUUUCUUACAAAUCAAAUCAAUCAUUUGAAUUCAAAUCAUUCAAUGAAAAAGAAAAAAAUUGUACAGGUUAAAGAUUCGCUAAGCUGGAAAUGAAAAUUUGAUGUAUUGGUAAGAAGAUUUAUAAUUAAAAUAGAUCGGUUAGUAGCAUUAAAGAAAUUGAACUAAAA
Vespula vulgaris is the source of this 809-nucleotide long non-coding RNA. RefSeq lists it as uncharacterized. NCBI's taxonomy places the organism in Eukaryota, Metazoa, Arthropoda, Insecta, Hymenoptera, Vespidae. The record is from RefSeq and is a predicted model, not a curated record. The transcript has 4 exons.